This 1581-nucleotide ribosomal RNA is filed under the name Triticum aestivum (bread wheat). RNAcentral describes it as "partial small subunit ribosomal RNA". Lineage: Eukaryota; Viridiplantae; Streptophyta; Magnoliopsida; Poales; Poaceae. The record is from RNAcentral.
AUGAAUGGUUCAAUUGUACCUGUUUCAGUUGCAAGCUCUAAAGAACAUCAACACUCUAUGAUAGAAACCGCCGUGCAACGAGAAGUGUUCGGGCAACUACAGCUACUCCUUGAUGAUCAUGAGUGCUCAAAAAGAGAAGCAAUUGAGGAUCAGCACAAAACAGCAAGGGGUCUGUUUGAAAAUCCUAUGAUGUCCAAAGCACAGGAGAAUUCACUCCNNNNAGAGAAAAAUGAGCUAGAGGAAAGACUAACCAGAGAAAAGGCUGGACUCGAAAAGGAACGCCUCCAUUUAUACAAUGAGCUACAGAAAGCAAAUGAGCAACGAGCAGAACUUGAGAACGAGCUUCUGCAGGCAAACUCCCUAAUGGAAGAGCUACAGCAGCUACAAUCUUGUCUCCUCUGGCGGCUGAAGAGAGAGCUGCAAAAGGCAAAUGAGCAAAGAGCAGAACUGGAGAACCGUGUAUUUGGCCCUACUAGUGAUGUUGCCUUAACAGAGUUCACCUACACAGAGAUAAAUGAAGCGACGGACAACUUUGAUGACUCCAAAAAGAUUGGGGUCGGUGGGUGUGCAACCGUCUACAAGGGAUUUCUACGACAUACUACCGUAGCCAUAAAGAAAUUCAACCGUGAAGACGCAACAGGAGAUAAAGAGUUUAAUGACGAGGUAGAAACACUCUGUAGGAUGAGGCAUCCAAACCUUGUGACCCUCAUAGGAGUGUGCACGGAGGCCAAAGCGUUGAUCUUUGAAUUCUUGUCAAACGGAAGCCUAGAGGAUUGUUUGCAGUGCGCGGACCAAAGAGAGACACUCUCAUGGAGAACGCGCAUCAAAAUCGCUGCCGACAUCUGCACGGGACUUAUCUUUCUCCACUCCAACAAACCAAAAGGCAUUGCACAUGGUGAUCUCAAGCCUGACAAUGUCCUUCUCGACGCGAGCUUUGUUUGCAAACUGGCAGAUUUUGGGAUCUCUCAUCACUUGAAUGUAACAAACACCACUAUCACCCCGUAUCACCGAACAAACCAAAUCAAGGGCACAAUGGGAUACAUGGACCCGGUAUACAUUGCCUCAGGGGAGCUCACAGCACAGUAUGACGUCUACUCUUAUGGAGUAGUGUUAAUGCGAUUGCUAACUAAUAAGAGCCCCCUAGGCCUUCCACAUGUUGUUGAGGCAGCCAUUAGAGAAGGCACGUUGCAAGAUCUAAUUGAUACUUCAGCUGGGGAAUGGCCACUUGAGUGUGCUGAAGAGUUGGCAAGACUAGCACUGCGUUGUUGCCGGUUAGAACGAAAGGAGCGGCCCAAUCUUGCAAAGGAGGUCUGGGGUGUCUUGCAAGCUAUAAUGAACUGUCAAGACCAAAAAUGUGGGCCACCAACGUUUUUCAUCUGUCCGAUGACACAGGAGAUCAUGAGGGAUCCACACAUUGCUGCCGAUGGAUUCACAUAUGAAGGCGAUGCCAUAAAGGACUGGUUUCAAAUGGGGAACAAAAUUUCCCCCAUGGCCUAUGUCAACUUCGCACACCAUGAGUUGAUACCAAACAAUGCCCUUCGUUUUGCAAUUCAAGAAUGGCAAAAGCGACAACAACCAUGA